GACGAACGCUGGCGGCGUGCCGUAACGACAUGCAAGUCGAGCGGGGACUUAUGGAAUGGAAGCUUCGGCAGAAUGAAGUAAGUUCUAGCGGCGGACGGGUGAGUAACGCGUGAGCAACCUGCCUAUCACAGGGGAAUAACGCAUCGAAAGGUGUGCUAAUACCGCAUGAGACCACAGGACCGCAUGGUCAAGGGGUCAAAGAUUUAUCGGUGAUAGAUGGGCUCGCGUCUGAUUAGCUAGUUGGUGGGGUAAUAGCCUACCAAGGCGACGAUCAGUAGCCGGACUGAGAGGUUGAACGGCCACAUUGGGACUGAGAUACGGCCCAG
RNAcentral lists this ribosomal RNA (326 nucleotides) under uncultured bacterium. RNAcentral describes it as "bacterial SSU rRNA". It matches the Rfam family "Bacterial small subunit ribosomal RNA", at positions 28 to 334 of the family's 1533-position model. The record is from RNAcentral.